UGGCUCAGAUUGAACGCUGGCGGCAGGCCUAACACAUGCAAGUCGAACGGUAGCACAGAGGAGCUUGCUCCUUGGGUGACGAGUGGCGGACGGGUGAGUAAUGUCUGGGAAACUGCCCGAUGGAGGGGGAUAACUACUGGAAACGGUAGCUAAUACCGCAUAACGUCGCAAGACCAAAGAGGGGGACCUUCGGGCCUCUUGCCAUCGGAUGUGCCCAGAUGGGAUUAGCUAGUAGGUGGGGUAACGGCUCACCUAGGCGACGAUCCCUAGCUGGUCUGAGAGGAUGACCAGCCACACUGGAACUGAGACACGGUCCAGACUCCUACGGGAGGCAGCAGUGGGGAAUAUUGCACAAUGGGCGCAAGCCUGAUGCAGCCAUGCCGCGUGUAUGAAGAAGGCCUUCGGGUUGUAAAG
This 414-nucleotide ribosomal RNA is filed under the name Citrobacter freundii. Its description in RNAcentral is "bacterial SSU rRNA". It matches the Rfam family "Bacterial small subunit ribosomal RNA", at positions 20 to 430 of the family's 1533-position model. Lineage: Bacteria; Pseudomonadati; Pseudomonadota; Gammaproteobacteria; Enterobacterales; Enterobacteriaceae. The record is from RNAcentral.